RNAcentral lists this ribosomal RNA (976 nucleotides) under Inosperma quietiodor. Its description in RNAcentral is "eukaryotic LSU rRNA". It matches the Rfam family "Eukaryotic large subunit ribosomal RNA", at positions 1 to 953 of the family's 3401-position model. The record is from RNAcentral. Lineage: Eukaryota; Fungi; Basidiomycota; Agaricomycetes; Agaricales; Inocybaceae.
UUGACCUCAAAUCAGGUAGGACCACCCGCUGAACUUAAGCAUAUCAAUAAGCGGAGGAAAAGAAACUAACCAGGAUUCCCUUAGUAACUGCGAGUGAACCGGGAAGAGCUCAAAUUUGUAAUCUGGCGGUCAUUCGAUCGUCCGAGUUGUAAUCUAGAGAAGUGUUACCUGCUCUGGACCGUGUACAAGUCUCCUGGAAUGGAGCAUCACAGAGGGUGAGAAUCCCGUCUUUGACAUGGACUGCCAGAGCUUAAUAGGUGUGCUCUCGAAGAGUCGAGUUGUUUGGGAAUGCAGCUCAAAAUGGGUGGUAAAUGCCAUCUAAAGCUAAAUAUUGGCGAGAGACCGAUAGCGAACAAGUACCGUGAGGGAAAGAUGAAAAGAACUUUGGAAAGAGAGUUAAACAGUACGUGAAAUUGCUGAAAGGGAAACGCUUGAAGUCAGUCGCGUCGGUCGGAAAUCAACCUUGCUUCUGCUGGGUGUACUUUCCGUCCGACGGGUCAGCGUCAGUUUCGGUCGCUGGAUAAAGUUCUUGGGAAUGUGGCAUCCUCGGAUGUGUUAUAGCCCUUUGACAUACGCAGCGGCUGGGAUUGAGGAAUUCAGCACGCCCUCCGGGGCUGGGGACUCGUCCCACAAUCUGGGUGCUUAGGAUGCUGGCGUAAUGGCUUUAAUCGACCCGUCUUGAAACACGGACCAAGGAGUCUAACAUGCCUGCGAGUGUUUGGGUGGAAAACCCAUGCGCGCAAUGAAAGUGAAGGUUGAGAUCCCUGUCGUGGGGAGCAUCGACGCCCAGACCAGACCUUCUUGUGACGGAUCUGCGGUAGAGCAUGCAUGUUGGGACCCGAAAGAUGGUGAACUAUGCCUGAAUAGGGUGAAGCCAGAGGAAACUCUGGUGGAGGCUCGUAGCGAUUCUGACGUGCAAAUCGAUCGUCAAAUUUGGGUAUAGGGGCGAAAGACUAAUCGAACCAUCUAGUAGCUG